RNAcentral lists this ribosomal RNA (256 nucleotides) under uncultured bacterium. RNAcentral describes it as "partial 16S ribosomal RNA". It matches the Rfam family "Bacterial small subunit ribosomal RNA", at positions 524 to 776 of the family's 1533-position model. The record is from RNAcentral.
UACGUAGGGGGCAAGCGUUGUCCGGAUUUAUUGGGCGUAAAGAGCGUGUAGGCGGCCAGGUAGGUCUGCUGUGAAAACUCGAGGCUUAACCUCGAGCUGUCGGCGGAAACCAUCUGGCUAGAGUCCGGAAGAGGAGAAUGGAAUUCCCGGUGUAGCGGUGAAAUGCGUAGAUAUCGAGAGGAACACCUGCGGCGAAGGCGGGGUUGCUGGGGCUGAAUACUGACGCUGAGGCGCGAAAGCUAGGGGAGCGAACGGG